GCCUGGGUGGCUCAGUCGGUUGAGUGUCCGACUUUGGCUCAGGUCAUGAUCUCACAGCUCGUGAGUUCAACCCCCGCCUCAGGCU
Molecule: transfer RNA, 85 nt
Filed under: Felis catus (domestic cat)
Lineage: Eukaryota; Metazoa; Chordata; Mammalia; Carnivora; Felidae
Rfam family: tRNA
About the family: Transfer RNA (tRNA) molecules are approximately 80 nucleotides in length. Their secondary structure includes four short double-helical elements and three loops (D, anti-codon, and T loops).
Source: Rfam by way of RNAcentral